This 349-nucleotide unclassified non-coding RNA is filed under the name soil metagenome. RNAcentral describes it as "partial contains 5.8S ribosomal RNA, internal transcribed spacer 2, and large subunit ribosomal RNA". The stretch from base 1 to 120 matches the Rfam family "5.8S ribosomal RNA", at positions 35 to 154 of the family's 154-position model. The record is from RNAcentral.
GAUGAAGAACGCAGCGAAAUGCGAUAAGUAAUGUGAAUUGCAGAAUUCAGUGAAUCAUCGAGUCUUUGAACGCACAUUGCGCCCCCUGGUAUUCCGGGGGGCAUGCCUGUCCGAGCGUCAUUGCUGCCCUCAAGCACGGCUUGUGUGUUGGGCCCCCGCCCCCCGGUCCCGGGGGGCGGGCCCGAAAGGCAGCGGCGGCACCGCGUCCGGUCCUCGAGCGUAUGGGGCUUUGUCACCCGCUCUGUAGGCCCGGCCGGCGCCCGCCGGCGACCCCAAUCAAUCUUUUUCAGGUUGAUCUCGGAUCAGGUAGGGAUACCCGCUGAACUUAAGCAUAUCAAUAAGCGGAGGA